AAUCUCCAGCCAGGGUGACUGGUGUCAAAGCCGGAUCGUAAAGAAUGGGAGCAGUCGUUCGUCUCUGUUCAAUCGCACAAGUACCGACAAGGAAGAAGGAUGUCCACAGAGAAUGAGGGAAAUGUGAUGCAGGCGAGGUAGUAAAAUAAACCUCCCAUAACUGAACCAACAGGGGUGGAGGCGGAUGGAUUCCCUGACAAAGCCCAGUGAGAUACAGCCUUUUGCAGAGUAACUCUUGCCUGAAGCUUACUUCCCGGGAAAGCACCCCAUCACGGGCCUUUCCCAUCUCCCACAAACGUGCCCUGCGGGGCCAGGCUCCCCCUAAGAGCCCCAUGAAUGGUGGGAUUGCUUUGUGGUGCCCCGGCAGCCCACACCGGCCACAGCAGGAAAGGUCUGAGGACAGACUGGCAC
Molecule: long non-coding RNA, 411 nt
Filed under: Fukomys damarensis (Damara mole-rat)
Lineage: Eukaryota; Metazoa; Chordata; Mammalia; Rodentia; Bathyergidae
Description: lncRNA (ENSFDAG00000031450.1)
Source: RNAcentral